UUGCUUAUCUGGUCAUCAGCUGGGGGCAUGGGCUCCUUCCAGCUUGGGUCCAGUGUCGUCACAUCCUGAGGACUUGCAGCAGAGCCUUGGUUCCCUGUGCCCCACUCUAAGGGGGUGUCUGUGGCACUGUCUAGGGCAGCUGGAGCUUUGACAUCCAUAGCUCUCACUGUGAUCAGCUAGGUUCUCCAGUUCUGGCUGUUCGGAUGUGUGUGUAUUGGUAUCUCAGCACAGAUUUGUCAUUUUCCUAAUGUUUCCAGCUUUCCAAGGCCAGGAAGAGGGCCCGGGUCAUGGACAGGAUCUUAGAUCCACAGAUGAUGGAGAAGCUAGGACAGAGAUAGGCAGACAAGUCUGAGGAAGCUGCAACCCGCUGGCCACUCUGGAGGGUUGAAGCACACACCCUUCAACUGCAAUGCUGCUGCUCUGGACAUGCUCAGAUCUUCCCGAGAGACCACGGCUGCCAUGAGCCUCACCUAUAGGUGGUCAGUGCUACCUACAAUCCUCACCAGGCCUGCCACUGCAGAGACCAACACCAUGAGGGUCCUGGCACUGGCAGAGGAUAGGAGAUGGGCAAAUAUCCGGAAGUCUCCAGUUCCCGUGAGGUGAUAACGAUCGCUGUCCAGCUGUUGUCCAGUCCUGGCCUGAAUCACUAUUAGAGCUAAGGAACAGGCUGGGGCUCACAGCCCAGACCCUCGGGUGGUGACUGGCAGUGGGGCAGGCACCCUGGAGGGUCAGGAGUAUGGGCAACCUGGAAGGCUCCGGAGAAGCCCUGGGACAACUCAGCCUAGAGGAGCAGCAGCUUGCAGAGGGGCACUUGGCGUGCAGGCUGCUCUGAUGGGGACCGAACAGUUCAUGGUUUCCAGAAGUUACGAACUUUAUGUCAGACCACCUCCACGAUUCCCACCCAGAGCACAGGAGCCAUACGACAGCAAUCAAAAUUCUAAAACAAGGUGCAGGGCAUUUCCAGCCCAUGUGCCCUUGUAGUAAAGCUGUUGGACCCUCCUCCCUGAAAACCACACCACCCUCCCUGUGCAGGAACUGCCAUGCUGUCCACAUGCAAGUACCAGAAAAGAAGCAUGAAACAAAAAAAAAAAAAAAGCUUGGAAACUUGCAAGUACCUAUGUAUCUAAUACACAGUAAGAGAAUCUCUUCCUUUUUUAUUGUUGAGAGUACCUUACUGUGUAGCCCAGGCCUGCCUCUAGUUUGAUGCAUAGCCCAGGUUGGCCUUAAACUUGGGGUCCGGCUGCUUCAGUCUCCUGAGUGCUGGAAUUGCUAGCACACACUGCCAUAUGUGGCCUUAAAGAAUUCCUAUGUAGGGGUAACUGUGUUAAAUGGGAUGACCAAGAGACACUUGUUUUUAGAUAGGGUCUCAUGUAUCCAGGCUGACCCCAAGCUUAUGUAGCCAAGGAUGGUCUUGAACACCUGCUCCACCUGCCUUCAUCUCCAGAGUGCUGUGAUUACAGAUUUGCUACCAUGCCUAAAUUUCAUAUGGUCCAGAGGGUUGAACCUAGGGCUUCAGGCGGUCUAGACAAGCACUCUACCAAUUGAGCCCCAUUACCACCCAAAGGAACAUCUUCUGAAGCUGUGUUGUGCCAUAAAGCUAAAGAA
Peromyscus maniculatus bairdii (prairie deer mouse) is the source of this 1605-nucleotide non-coding RNA. The record is from RefSeq and is a predicted model, not a curated record. Lineage: Eukaryota; Metazoa; Chordata; Mammalia; Rodentia; Cricetidae.